UGGGGAAUAUUGGACAAUGGGCGAAAGCCUGAUCCAGCCAUGCCGCGUGUGUGAAGAAGGUCUUCUGAUUGUAAAGCACUUUAAGUUGGGAGGAAGGGCAGUUACCUAAUACGUGAUUGUUUUGACGUUACCGACAGAAUAAGCACCGGCUAACUCUGUGCCAGCAGCCGCGGUAAUACAGAGGGUGCAAGCGUUAAUCGGAAUUACUGGGCGUAAAGCGCGCGUAGGUGGUUCGUUAAGUUGGAUGUGAAAUCCCCGGGCUCAACCUGGGAACUGCAGUGAAAACUGUGGAGCUAGAGUAUG
RNAcentral lists this ribosomal RNA (303 nucleotides) under uncultured Pseudomonas sp. RNAcentral's name for it is "bacterial SSU rRNA". It matches the Rfam family "Bacterial small subunit ribosomal RNA", at positions 355 to 650 of the family's 1533-position model. The record is from RNAcentral. Lineage: Bacteria; Pseudomonadati; Pseudomonadota; Gammaproteobacteria; Pseudomonadales; Pseudomonadaceae.